RNAcentral lists this ribosomal RNA (1375 nucleotides) under uncultured Planctomycetota bacterium. RNAcentral's name for it is "uncultured planctomycete 16S ribosomal RNA". It matches the Rfam family "Bacterial small subunit ribosomal RNA". Lineage: Bacteria; Pseudomonadati; Planctomycetota. The record is from RNAcentral.
GUUAGUGGCGAAAGGGUGAGGAAUAGACAGGUAACGUACCUUUGGCUUCGGAAUAGCCCAUCGAAAGAUGGGGUAAUGCCGGAUGAUGUCAUCCGUGUAAUGCGGAUGACCAAAGAUUUAUCGGCCAUUGAGCGGCCUGUUUCCUAUCAGCUUGUUGGUGAGGUAAUGGCUACCAAGGCGACGACGGGUAGCGGGACUGAGAGGUUGGCCCGCCACAUCGGGACUGAGACACUGCCCGGACUCCUACGGAGGGCUGCAGUAACGAAUAUUGGGCAAUGGGCGAAAGCCUGACCCAGCAAUGCCGUGUGCAGGAUGAAGCCCCUCGGGGUGUAAACUGCUUUCAGGGAUUAGAAAGCUACGGUUGAUCAAUCCCAGAAGAAGUCACGGCUAACUUCGUGCCAGCAGCCGCGGUAAGACGAAGGUGGCAAGCGUUAUUCGAAAUCACUGGGCUUAAAGGGUGCGUAGGCGGAUAUGAAAGUGUUUUGUGAAAUCCCCUGGCUUAACCGGGGAAUGGCAGGACAAACUCCAUAUCUUGAGGCAAGUAGAGGUGUGUGGAACUCUUGGUGGAGCGGUGGAAUGCGUAGAUAUCAAGAGGAACGCCGAAGGUGAAGACAGCACACUGGACUUGUACUGACGCUGAGGCACGAAAGCGUGGGGAGCAAACAGGAUUAGAUACCCUGGUAGUCCACGCUGUAAACGAUGUGCACUAGGUCGCGGAGGUUCUGACACCGUCGCGGCGUAGCAAAAGUGUUAAGUGCACCGCCUGGGGAGUACGGUCGCAAGGCUAAAACUCAAAGGAAUUGACGGGGGCUCACACAAGCGGUGGAGCAUGUGGAUUAAUUCGAAGCAACGCGCAGAACCUUACCUGGGUUUAACAUGUUUGGAUGCCUAUCUGGAAACAGAGUCUGCUGCCUUCGGGUGAGACUUACACAGGUGCUGCAUGGCUGUCGUCAGCUCGCGCUGUGAGAUGCCGGGUUAAGUCCUUUAACGAGCGAAACCCUUACCGUUAGUUGCCAGCGCGUCAUGGCGGGGACUCUAGCGGGACUGCCGGUGUUAAACCGGAGGAAGGCGGGGAUGACGUCAAGUCCUCAUGGCCUUUAUGCCCAGGGCUUCACACGUGCUACAAUGGCAGGUACAGAGCGACGCAAUACCGCGAGGUGGAGCAAAUCGCAAAAAACCUGCCCCAGUCCAGAUUGCAGGCUGCAACUCGCCUGCAUGAAGUCGGAAUCGCUAGUAAUCGCGUAUCAGCGAUGACGCGGUGAAUGUGUUCCUGAGCCUUGUACACACCGCCCGUCAAGUGAUGGAAGUCGGGAGUACCCGAAGUCCGAUUGCUAACUUGUAAAAGAGGCGUCUGCCGACGGUAAGCUCGGUGACU